Molecule: ribosomal RNA, 29 nt
Filed under: Icaricia lupini lupini
Lineage: Eukaryota; Metazoa; Arthropoda; Insecta; Lepidoptera; Lycaenidae
Description: Aricia lupini lupini partial 28S ribosomal RNA
Source: RNAcentral
UGGCCUCAGAUCAGGRAGGAUCACCCGCC